RNAcentral lists this ribosomal RNA (807 nucleotides) under Trichoderma trixiae. RNAcentral describes it as "LSU rRNA". It matches the Rfam family "Eukaryotic large subunit ribosomal RNA", at positions 78 to 914 of the family's 3401-position model. Lineage: Eukaryota; Fungi; Ascomycota; Sordariomycetes; Hypocreales; Hypocreaceae. The record is from RNAcentral.
CCCCAGUAACGGCGAAGUGAAGCGGCAACAGCUCAAAUUUGAAAUCUGGCCCCUAGGGUCCGAGUUUGUAAUUUGUAGAGGAUGCUUUUGGUGAGGUGCCGCCCGAGUUCCCUGGAACGGGACGCCGCAGAGGGUGAGAGCCCCGUCUGGCUGGCCACCGAGCCUAUGUAAAGCUCCUUCGACGAGUCGAGUAGUUUGGGAAUGCUGCUCAAAAUGGGAGGUAUAUGUCUUCUAAAGCUAAAUAUUGGCCAGAGACCGAUAGCGCACAAGUAGAGUGAUCGAAAGAUGAAAAGCACCUUGAAAAGAGGGUUAAACAGUACGUGAAAUUGUUGAAAGGGAAGCGCUUGUGACCAGACUUGGGCGCGGCGGAUCAUCCGGGGUUCUCCCCGGUGCACUUCGCCGCGUUCAGGCCAGCAUCAGUUCGGCGCGGGGGAAAAAGGCUUCGGGAACGUGGCUCCUCCGGGAGUGUUAUAGCCCGUUGCAUAAUACCCUGCGCUGGACUGAGGACCGCGCAUCUGCAAGGAUGCUGGCGUAAUGGUCACCAGCGACCCGUCUUGAAACACGGACCAAGGAGUCGUCUUCGUAUGCGAGUGUUCGGGUGUCAAACCCCUACGCGUAAUGAAAGUGAACGCAGGUGAGAGCUUCGGCGCAUCAUCGACCGAUCCUGAUGUUCUCGGAUGGAUUUGAGUAAGAGCAUACGGGGCCGGACCCGAAAGAAGGUGAACUAUGCCUGUAUAGGGUGAAGCCAGAGAAACUCUGGUGGAGGCUCGCAGCGGUUCUGACGUGCAAAUCGAUCGUCAAAUAUGG